AUAACAAUUUCUUCAGUUUUUUGUUUCGAAAAGAGACAAAGAUAGAAGGUAAGGGAUAGAAAUAGAAGAUGGAAGAAGACAGUUUGGUAAUCACAACAGAUAUUAUAAUAAAUCAUAUCUUUACAGAGGCAGAUACAUUGUAAAACGAACAAGGAUACUUUCACGAAAUAUACACGCAGUCGUACAUUGAUCCAGGAAUCGAUCGGCGACAC
Molecule: long non-coding RNA, 212 nt
Organism: Bombus pascuorum
Lineage: Eukaryota; Metazoa; Arthropoda; Insecta; Hymenoptera; Apidae
Exons: 2
Source: RefSeq, a predicted model, not a curated record